RNAcentral lists this ribosomal RNA (451 nucleotides) under uncultured bacterium. Its description in RNAcentral is "bacterial SSU rRNA". It matches the Rfam family "Bacterial small subunit ribosomal RNA", at positions 354 to 796 of the family's 1533-position model. The record is from RNAcentral.
GUCGGGAAUUUUGGGCAAUGGGCGAAAGCCUGACCCAGCAACGCCGCGUGAGGGAUGAAGGCCCUCGGGUCGUAAACCUCUGUCGGGAGGGAAGAACGAUCGGCAGUCGAACAGGCUGACGGUCUGACGGUACCUCCAAAGGAAGCACCGGCUAACUCCGUGCCAGCAGCCGCGGUAAUACGGAGGGUGCAAGCGUUGUUCGGAAUCAUUGGGCGUAAAGCGCGUGUAGGCGGCUUGGUAAGUCGGGUGUGAAAUCCCGGGGCCCAACCCCGGAACUGCAUUCGAAACUGCCUCGCUAGAGUCCCGGAGAGGAAGGCGGAAUUCCCGGUGUAGAGGUGAAAUUCGUAGAUAUCGGGAGGAACACCAGCGGCGAAGGCGGCCUUCUGGACGGUGACUGACGCUGAGACGCGAAAGCGUGGGGAGCAAACAGGAUUAGAUACCCCAGUAGUCC